AGAACGAACGCUGGCGGCACGCCUAACACAUGCAAGUCGAGCGCCCAGCAAUGGGAGCGGCGGACGGGUGAGUAACACGUGGGAACAUGCCUUUCGGUACGGAACAACUGCGGGAAACUGCAGCUAAUGCCGUAUACGCCCUUACGGGGAAAGAUUUAUCGCCGAAAGAUUGGCCCGCGUCUGAUUAGCUAGUUGGUGAGGUAACGGCUCACCAAGGCUUCGAUCAGUAGCUGGUUUGAGAGAACGACCAGCCACAUUGGGACUGAGACACGGCCCAAACUCCUACGGGAGGCAGCAGUGGGGAAUCUUGGACAAUGGGGGAAACCCUGAUCCAGCGAUGCCGCGUGAGUGAUGAAGGCCUUCGGGUUGUAAAACUCUUUCGACGGGGACGAUAAUGACGGUACCCGUAGAAGAGGCUCCGGCUAACUUCGUGCCAGCAGCCGC
This 444-nucleotide ribosomal RNA is filed under the name uncultured bacterium. Its description in RNAcentral is "SSU rRNA". It matches the Rfam family "Bacterial small subunit ribosomal RNA", at positions 26 to 518 of the family's 1533-position model. The record is from RNAcentral.